GAUGAACGCUGGCGGCGUACCUAACGCAUGCAAGUCGAACGGGGAUUCAAGUAGCAAUACGAGGAUUCUAGUGGCAAACGGGUGAGUAACACGUAGGGAUCUACCUUGAGGUGGGGAACAACGGACCGAAAGGUUCGCUAAUACCGCAUGGGCUCGAGAGAGCAAAGGUGGGGUUAAACCCAUCGCCUUGAGCGGAGCCUGCGUUCGAUCAGGUAGUUGGUGAGGUAACGGCUCACCAAGCCGAUGACCGAUAGCUGUUCUGAGAGGAAGAUCAGCCACACUGGGACUGUGACACGGCCCAGACUCCUACGGGAGGCAG
This 319-nucleotide ribosomal RNA is filed under the name uncultured Chloroflexota bacterium. Its description in RNAcentral is "bacterial SSU rRNA". It matches the Rfam family "Bacterial small subunit ribosomal RNA", at positions 28 to 351 of the family's 1533-position model. Lineage: Bacteria; Bacillati; Chloroflexota. The record is from RNAcentral.